UGGGGAAUAUUGGACAAUGGGCGCAAGCCUGAUCCAGCAAUGCCGCGUGGGUGAAGAAGGCCUUCGGGUUGUAAAGCCCUUUUGUACGGGAAGAAAUCCUGUCGGUUAAUACCCGGCGGGGAUGACGGUACCGUAAGAAUAAGCACCGGCUAACUUCGUGCCAGCAGCCGCGGUAAUACGAAGGGUGCAAGCGUUAAUCGGAAUUACUGGGCGUAAAGCGUGCGUAGGCGGUUGGUUAAGUCUGUCGUGAAAGCCCUGGGCUCAACCUGGGAAUGGCGAUGGAAACUGGCCAGCUAGAGUGUGAUAGAGGAUGGCGGAAUUCCCGGUGUAGCGGUGAAAUGCGUAGAGAUCGGGAGGAACAUCCGUGGCGAAGGCGGCCAUCUGGAUCAACACUGACGCUGAGGCACGAAAGCGUGGGGAGCAAACAGG
RNAcentral lists this ribosomal RNA (429 nucleotides) under uncultured bacterium. RNAcentral describes it as "bacterial SSU rRNA". It matches the Rfam family "Bacterial small subunit ribosomal RNA", at positions 355 to 776 of the family's 1533-position model. The record is from RNAcentral.